This 1373-nucleotide long non-coding RNA is filed under the name Equus caballus (horse). Its description in RNAcentral is "lncRNA (ENSECAG00000056009.1)". Lineage: Eukaryota; Metazoa; Chordata; Mammalia; Perissodactyla; Equidae. The record is from RNAcentral.
CUUACAGUCAACUGUCAGAGCUAUACAAGAAACAAACAACUGGGGCCUGCCCCAUGGCCGAGUGGUUUAAGUUCACGUGCUUCUGCUUUGGCGGCCCAGGCUUUCACAGGUUCGGAUCCUGGGCGCGGACAUGGCAUUGCUCAUUAGCCCACGCUGAGGCAGUGUCCCACAUAGCACAACCAGAGGCACUCGCAACUAGAAUAUACAACUAUGUGCUGGGGAGCUUUGAGGAGAAAGAAAAAAAAAAAGAAGAAGAUUGGCAAAAGUUGUUAGCUCAGAUGCCAAUCUUUAGACGAAAAAAAAGGAAAUUACAAAUUGUUGUACCGGCUGUGAAGAAAAUAAACAGGAUGCUGUAACAGAGGCUAACCUGUGUGUGUGUGUGUAGGUACCUUAAAUAGAGAUGGGGCUCUUCAAGGAGCUAACAUUUAAGCAGUGGACCAAAGGAUGAGAAAAAAAAGAGAGAAGAGAAAGUGUUCCAGACCAGAAGGUCUUGUCUUGUGCUAAGACUCAGAAAUAGGAAAGAGCUUUGCAAAUUAGAGGAAAUGAAAGACGGCCAGAGAGACUGGAGUUUCUUAUGCACCAGGCAGGAUGCCGGGUGCUGGCGAUGCUGUGGCAAACCAGGCAAAACUCUUGGAAUUGACAGUGGAAUGGGGGGAGAAGACAAAAAAUUAUAAGUUAACAACCAAUGCUUUGACCACUCACUAUUUUUUUUGUCUUUGGUAUCUAAUUUAGUGUUCUAUAGUCCACCGCCUCAUUUUUCCAGCCCCAGGUUUCUCAGAGGCAAGUCCUCUCUGUGUCACCACUGUGUCACUCACCCCUCCUAGAAUUCUUGCUCAGUGACAUCUCGCACCCUCCCUUCCUCUCCCACCCCAGGCUGUUGAAGCUCAAAGUUCAGGAGGAACGGGGCAAUUUGGUGUACAAUGCUGACGUGGAGAUAAGUUUUGCUCAUGGGUGCUGAGUUCCUGAGCACAGGAAAUGCAUAAAGAAGAGAUAGAGUUUAUGGCUUCAGUGAGGGGAAAGAUAGAAAGCUUAGAGGCCAAGUAAGAAGCUGACACACCUUUUGAUUUUUCUAGGUCACUACUACUAUAGCCACCACUUGAUUAUUUAAAUUUGCCUGCAGUCGAGUUUGGAUUUGACUGAAACAGAACUGUUCCGAGUGUCAUCUCCUCAUGUUCUCCUGCCCCAGUUGGAUGGGCCAUUUCUGGAGGCUGUCACGGCUGGAGGCCCAGAGUGGAGAAGAACUGCCUGGGAAAGAAGAAUGAGAAGACCAGAUGGGCGGAGAGAGGGCACGAGAAAAGUGAUGGGAGGGGUUUGGAUUUUUUUUUUUUCCUGUAUCAUUGUAAAUAUUUAGUGAUUCUGAAUUAUUACAGGUG